Molecule: ribosomal RNA, 620 nt
Filed under: Cortinarius phoeniceus
Lineage: Eukaryota; Fungi; Basidiomycota; Agaricomycetes; Agaricales; Cortinariaceae
Description: eukaryotic LSU rRNA
Rfam family: Eukaryotic large subunit ribosomal RNA
Source: RNAcentral
GACCUCAAAUCAGGUAGGACUACCCGCUGAACUUAAGCAUAUCAAUAAGCGGAGGAAAAGAAACUAACAAGGAUUCCCCUAGUAACUGCGAGUGAAGCGGGAAAAGCUCAAAUUUAAAAUCUGACAGUCUUUGGCUGUCCGAGUUGUAAUCUAGAGAAGUGUUAUCCGCGCUGGACCGUGUACAAGUCUCCUGGAAUGGAGCGUCAUAGAGGGUGAGAAUCCCGUCUUUGACACGGACUACCAGGGCUUUGUGAUGCGCUCUCAAAGAGUCGAGUUGUUUGGGAAUGCAGCUCAAAAUGGGUGGUAAAUUCCAUCUAAAGCUAAAUAUUGGCGAGAGACCGAUAGCGAACAAGUACCGUGAGGGAAAGAUGAAAAGAACUUUGGAAAGAGAGUUAAACAGUACGUGAAAUUGCUGAAAGGGAAACGCUUGAAGUCAGUCGCGUUGUCCAGGGAUCAACCUUGCUUUUGCUUGGUGCACUUUCUGGUUGACGGGUCAGCAUCAAUUUUGACCAUUGGAAAAAGAUUAAGGGAAUGUGGCAUCUUUGGAUGUGUUAUAGCCCUUGGUUGCAUACGAUGGUUGGGAUUGAGGAACUCAGCACGCCGCAAGGCCGGGUUUAACC